This 495-nucleotide ribosomal RNA is filed under the name uncultured bacterium. RNAcentral's name for it is "partial 16S ribosomal RNA". It matches the Rfam family "Bacterial small subunit ribosomal RNA", at positions 28 to 505 of the family's 1533-position model. The record is from RNAcentral.
GAUGAACGCUGGCGGCGUGCCUAAUACAUGCAAGUCGAGCGAACGGACGAGAAGCUUGCUUCUCUGAUGUUAGCGGCGGACGGGUGAGUAACACGUGGAUAACCUACCUAUAAGACUGGGAUAACUUCGGGAAACCGUAGCUAAUACCGGAUAAUAUUUUGAACCGCAUGGUUCAAGAGUGAAAGACGGUCUUGCUGUCACUUAUAGAUGGAUCCGCGCUGCAUUAGCUAGUUGGUAAGGUAACGGCUUACCAAGGCAACGAUGCAUAGCCGACCUGAGAGGGUGCUCGGCCACGCUGGAACUGAGACGCGGUCCAGACUCCUACGGGAGGCAGCAGUAGGGAAUCUUCCGCAAUGGGCGAAAGCCUGAAGGAGCAACGCCGCGUGAGUGAUGAAGGUCUUCGGAUCGUAAAACUCUGUUAUUAGGGAAGAACAUAUGUGUAAGUAACUGGGCACAUCUUGACGGUACCUAAUCAGAAAGCCACGGCUAACUACG